This 525-nucleotide ribosomal RNA is filed under the name Escherichia coli. Its description in RNAcentral is "partial 16S ribosomal RNA". It matches the Rfam family "Bacterial small subunit ribosomal RNA", at positions 997 to 1522 of the family's 1533-position model. Lineage: Bacteria; Pseudomonadati; Pseudomonadota; Gammaproteobacteria; Enterobacterales; Enterobacteriaceae. RNAcentral also lists the same sequence under 2 other names. The record is from RNAcentral.
UUUUCAGAGAUGAGAAUGUGCCUUCGGGAACCGUGAGACAGGUGCUGCAUGGCUGUCGUCAGCUCGUGUUGUGAAAUGUUGGGUUAAGUCCCGCAACGAGCGCAACCCUUAUCCUUUGUUGCCAGCGGUCCGGCCGGGAACUCAAAGGAGACUGCCAGUGAUAAACUGGAGGAAGGUGGGGAUGACGUCAAGUCAUCAUGGCCCUUACGACCAGGGCUACACACGUGCUACAAUGGCGCAUACAAAGAGAAGCGACCUCGCGAGAGCAAGCGGACCUCAUAAAGUGCGUCGUAGUCCGGAUUGGAGUCUGCAACUCGACUCCAUGAAGUCGGAAUCGCUAGUAAUCGUGGAUCAGAAUGCCACGGUGAAUACGUUCCCGGGCCUUGUACACACCGCCCGUCACACCAUGGGAGUGGGUUGCAAAAGAAGUAGGUAGCUUAACCUUCGGGAGGGCGCUUACCACUUUGUGAUUCAUGACUGGGGUGAAGUCGUAACAAGGUAACCGUAGGGGAACCUGCGGUUGGA